Molecule: long non-coding RNA, 2763 nt
Organism: Aegilops tauschii subsp. strangulata
Lineage: Eukaryota; Viridiplantae; Streptophyta; Magnoliopsida; Poales; Poaceae
Source: RefSeq, a predicted model, not a curated record
UGUACCGCUGGUCCGCUGCUGCCGCUCACAGCCACUCAUUCCACUGAGAGGGAGGAUUCUGACCAGGUAAAAUCCGCCGUUCAGGGUCGUGGCCGGCGGCAAGACCGGAGCUGUAUAGCGUCGUCCGUCUCCGACGCUCUUCUUCGCCCGGAGCUGCCAUGGUAGCCACACCCGUCUUCGGCGCGCUGGGGCCGUUGUCUCAGGCGUGCACCGCUCGCUCGCCUCAGGCGCGCUCUGCUCGCUCGCCUCAGGCGCGCUGCGCCACGCCCGGCCGUGGCCUUGGCUGCUGGCGGCAAGACGGUGGUCGUCGCAGCUAGUGCUGCCCACCUCCGGCGCACCCAACGGCAGGCCAAGGUUCUGGCUGACCCGCUCCCUGGGAUAUGGUGGAUGGUGGAGCUGCUGCGCGUGCAGCCGGUGGCCGAGAUUCCGCCGGAGGUCGCGCAGUCGUACUAGAAGAUGCGAACACAAUGCAAACUAAACAGGCAAAGCUUUGGCGGCCGCUUAGCCGCCCCCAGGACCGGGACGUCAUCAACACUCUCCUCGCCGACCUUCGAUCGAUGGCCUUCCACUUGGCGCCUCCGCUCCCACCCCACCCCCCAGCCCGACUAGUUGCUCUUUGCACCCCGCGUGUGCUUUUUUUUCUGGUUUUCAGGGCUUGUUGAGCUGUGCCCUCAGCAUUAACCCUCGGAUUCUCCUCUGUGUGAGACUGUUGUGUGUGUGUGUGUUUGAACCUUGUUGGAUGUUUGGCUUGGUCGGUUGCUUUAUAAUAUAAAGCGGGGCGAAAGCCUUUUUCGGUAAUGAAGCCAUCUAUGACACUACUACUAUGUUACUUUGCACUACGGAGGUAGUAACUUAGAUUAGUGUCAUAUGCAUGGGACGCAGAGUUUCUGCACCCGAGCUCAAAUGAGCUCGGGUGAACAGUAAAAUCAAAACUAAAUAAAAAAAUUCAAAAAAAUCCAAUUUUUUUGGGAGAAACAUUGACAAAGUUUUAAGUGCUUGCAAAAAUUCGUCGUGAAAUCACAUUCCUAGAAGGCGUGGCAAAAAAAAACAAAAUCGGUACUCUGAAAAUGCUACUUUCAAAAGCAUUUUGGAGCACUCAAUUUUUUUUUUUGCCACGCCUUACAGGAAUGUUAUUUCAUGAUGAAUUUUUGCAAGCACUUAGAACUUUUGUCAAUGUUUCUCCCCAAAAAAAAAUUGGAAUUUUUUGAUUUUUGCAAGCACUCAAUUCGUCGUGAACUUUUGUCAAUGUUUCUCCCCACGUGGACACUACUAUAAGUUACUCCCCACUAUGACCAGCCUUACUACAUCUACGUAGAUAUUCCAUAUAGAGCUACGUAAGAGUCUCCACGUGGGAUGACUGACCUAUGUUUCUCCGUAGGUGUGCAAUGUCAUUUUCAGUGCGGUCCAAUGCUUCGUUAUGUGUGUGAAAUGUCAUUUUCAAUGGGUCCUAUGUACGUAAUGCUUAUCAUGAUCUUAAUGGACUUUAUUGUCCCUAAAUGUUUCACCUAUGCUUUUUGUAAAUUUAAUGGAUGUAAAAAGUCGGUGUCACUGGAUGUCUCAUCUAAUGAUUUCCACAAAUUUAAUGGAUGUGACAUGUCAAUGUCACUAGUAGGGUUGUGUGCAUUUUGCUUCACCGUUUGUGUUGUUAGCAUAUCAUAAUAGAAUUUAUUUAGUUUGGUGUGUGAGAGAGAUGAUGGUGUAUGUGUUUUUUAUAUAUAACACAGUGUUUUCGUGGGCCCUUUCUGAAGUUGAGAUUUUGUGUUAUCUGCUACUCAACCCACAUGUAUGUGGAAAAGUUUCUUGCGCUGGCAACCACAUGUACUAUAUUAUGUUACGGUUUCGUAUGCUGAUGAUUCAUUUUUGCCAGGUGAUGAGAGGUUGCACGAGACUCAUGUGUUUUUAUAGGCUGGUUGUUGCCGAUUGAUUUAGAAAACCAAUGACACGGUCAAAAUCAUGAAGCAAAUUCAAAAUUGAACACCUCGAUCAAAAUCAUUGACGCAGUCAAAAUUCUGAACCUGAUCCUAAAUCGAACACCUCAAUUGAAUAACAAUCAUGAACCAAAUUCAAAAUAACCUUAAUUAAAAUCAUUGACCCAGUCAAAACUGUAAACUUAGAUUCAAAAUUGAACACCUCAAUUGAACGAGCGAGCUAAAAUUAGGGUCCAUAGUGUAUUGUAGAUAGUUUAGAUGUUUCAUUUAACAUUUCUCCUCCUGUGAAGUGGCUUCCUCCUCCAGAGGGUUGGGUGAAGCUCAAUACGGAUGGUUCCUGGACUGAUGAUGGAAGGGCUGGUGCUGGUAUGGUGCUUCGCGAUAAUCUAGGCAAUAUUAUUUACUCAUCUUGCAGGGAGUUAUUUUCAUGCCGAGAUGCCCUUGAAGCAGAAUUAUGCGCAUACAUGGAGGGUUUAUCCAUUGCUAUUCAGCGGACGGAACUUCCAGUUUGUAUCGAGAUGGAUUCAAUUAUAGCGGUGAACAUGUUGAAGGACAAGGACAUUGACAGGUCAAUCUAUGCGUCUUUGGUGGCAGAGAUAAAGUACUUGAAGUCUCUUCGAACGACCAGUAUUAUUCAUAUCAAGCGUGGUCAAAAUUUAAUUAGUGACUUUUUAGCUAGUUUUGCUAGAACUGAGAGUAGAACUGUUGUCUGGUUGGGAUCAGGACCCCCAGAGGUCAUCAAUUUAUGUAAGCAGGAUUGUACGUUUGAUGCUUGAUUAUUAUAAGUUUAUCCCGAAAAAAUUAAUGAAGAGUAAAAUGCACUCUGACUAUCUAA